This 585-nucleotide unclassified non-coding RNA is filed under the name Penicillium griseofulvum. RNAcentral describes it as "sequence contains 18S rRNA gene, ITS1, 5.8S rRNA gene, ITS2, 28S rRNA gene". The stretch from base 219 to 371 matches the Rfam family "5.8S ribosomal RNA". The record is from RNAcentral. Lineage: Eukaryota; Fungi; Ascomycota; Eurotiomycetes; Eurotiales; Aspergillaceae.
UCGUAACAAGGUUUCCGUAGGUGAACCUGCGGAAGGAUCAUUACUGAGUGAGGGCCCUCUGGGUCCAACCUCCCACCCGUGUUUAUUUACCUUGUUGCUUCGGCGGGCCCGCCUUAACUGGCCGCCGGGGGGCUUACGCCCCCGGGCCCGCGCCCGCCGAAGACACCCUCGAACUCUGUCUGAAGAUUGUAGUCUGAGUGAAAAUAUAAAUUAUUUAAAACUUUCAACAACGGAUCUCUUGGUUCCGGCAUCGAUGAAGAACGCAGCGAAAUGCGAUACGUAAUGUGAAUUGCAAAUUCAGUGAAUCAUCGAGUCUUUGAACGCACAUUGCGCCCCCUGGUAUUCCGGGGGGCAUGCCUGUCCGAGCGUCAUUGCUGCCCUCAAGCACGGCUUGUGUGUUGGGCCCCGUCCUCCGAUUCCGGGGGACGGGCCCGAAAGGCAGCGGCGGCACCGCGUCCGGUCCUCGAGCGUAUGGGGCUUUGUCACCCGCUCUGUAGGCCCGGCCGGCGCUUGCCGAUCAACCCAAAUUUUUAUCCAGGUUGACCUCGGAUCAGGUAGGGAUACCCGCUGAACUUAAGCAUAUCA